RNAcentral lists this ribosomal RNA (2782 nucleotides) under Vibrio cholerae. Its description in RNAcentral is "partial 23S ribosomal RNA". It matches the Rfam family "Bacterial large subunit ribosomal RNA". The record is from RNAcentral. Lineage: Bacteria; Pseudomonadati; Pseudomonadota; Gammaproteobacteria; Vibrionales; Vibrionaceae.
GUUGUAUGGUUAAGUGACUAAGCGUACACGGUGGAUGCCUGGGCAGUCAGAGGCGAUGAAGGACGUACUAACUUGCGAUAAGCGCAGAUGAGGCAGUAAGAGCCGUUUGAGUCUGCGAUUUCCGAAUGGGGAAACCCAACUGCAUAAGCAGUUACUGUUAACUGAAUACAUAGGUUAACAGAGCAAACCGGGGGAACUGAAACAUCUAAGUACCCCGAGGAGAAGAAAUCAACCGAGAUUCCGGUAGUAGCGGCGAGCGAACCUGGAUUAGCCCUUAAGCACUCGGUGAAGUAGGUGAACAAGCUGGAAAGCUUGGCGAUACAGGGUGAUAGCCCCGUAACCGACGCUUCAUCGAGCGUGAAAUCGAGUAGGGCGGGACACGUGAUAUCCUGUCUGAAUAUGGGGGGACCAUCCUCCAAGGCUAAAUACUCCUGACUGACCGAUAGUGAACCAGUACCGUGAGGGAAAGGCGAAAAGAACCCCUGUGAGGGGAGUGAAAUAGAACCUGAAACCGUGUACGUACAAGCAGUAGGAGCACCUUCGUGGUGUGACUGCGUACCUUUUGUAUAAUGGGUCAGCGACUUAUAUUCAGUGGCAAGGUUAACCGUAUAGGGGAGCCGUAGCGAAAGCGAGUCUUAACUGGGCGCUCAGUCUCUGGAUAUAGACCCGAAACCGGGUGAUCUAGCCAUGGGCAGGUUGAAGGUUGAGUAACAUCAACUGGAGGACCGAACCGACUAAUGUUGAAAAAUUAGCGGAUGACUUGUGGCUAGGGGUGAAAGGCCAAUCAAACUCGGAGAUAGCUGGUUCUCCCCGAAAGCUAUUUAGGUAGCGCCUCGGACGAAUACUACUGGGGGUAGAGCACUGUUAAGGCUAGGGGGUCAUCCCGACUUACCAACCCUUUGCAAACUCCGAAUACCAGUAAGUACUAUCCGGGAGACACACGGCGGGUGCUAACGUCCGUCGUGGAGAGGGAAACAACCCAGACCGCCAGCUAAGGUCCCAAAGUAUUGCUAAGUGGGAAACGAUGUGGGAAGGCUCAGACAGCUAGGAUGUUGGCUUAGAAGCAGCCAUCAUUUAAAGAAAGCGUAAUAGCUCACUAGUCGAGUCGGCCUGCGCGGAAGAUGUAACGGGGCUAAGCAAUACACCGAAGCUGCGGCAAUAUCUUUUAGAUAUUGGGUAGGGGAGCGUUCUGUAAGCCGUUGAAGGUGAAUCGUAAGGUUUGCUGGAGGUAUCAGAAGUGCGAAUGCUGACAUGAGUAACGACAAAGGGGGUGAAAAACCUCCUCGCCGGAAGACCAAGGGUUCCUGUCCAACGUUAAUCGGGGCAGGGUGAGUCGACCCCUAAGGUGAGGCCGAAAGGCGUAAUCGAUGGGAAACGGGUUAAUAUUCCCGUACUUCUGACUAUUGCGAUGGGGGGACGGAGAAGGCUAGGUGGGCCAGGCGACGGUUGUCCUGGUUCAAGUGCGUAGGCUUGAGAGUUAGGUAAAUCCGGCUCUCUCUAAGGCUGAGACACGACGUCGAGCUGCUACGGCAGUGAAGUCAUUGAUGCCAUGCUUCCAGGAAAAGCCUCUAAGCUUCAGAUAGUCAGGAAUCGUACCCCAAACCGACACAGGUGGUCGGGUAGAGAAUACCAAGGCGCUUGAGAGAACUCGGGUGAAGGAACUAGGCAAAAUGGUACCGUAACUUCGGGAGAAGGUACGCUCUUGAUGGUGAAGUCCCUCGCGGAUGGAGCUGACGAGAGUCGCAGAUACCAGGUGGCUGCAACUGUUUAUUAAAAACACAGCACUGUGCAAAAUCGCAAGAUGACGUAUACGGUGUGACGCCUGCCCGGUGCCGGAAGGUUAAUUGAUGGGGUUAGCGCAAGCGAAGCUCUUGAUCGAAGCCCCGGUAAACGGCGGCCGUAACUAUAACGGUCCUAAGGUAGCGAAAUUCCUUGUCGGGUAAGUUCCGACCUGCACGAAUGGCGUAAUGAUGGCCACGCUGUCUCCACCCGAGACUCAGUGAAAUUGAAAUCGCUGUGAAGAUGCAGUGUACCCGCGGCUAGACGGAAAGACCCCGUGAACCUUUACUACAGCUUGGCACUGAACAUUGAACCUACAUGUGUAGGAUAGGUGGGAGGCUAUGAAGACGUGACGCCAGUUGCGUUGGAGCCGUCCUUGAAAUACCACCCUUGUAUGUUUGAUGUUCUAACUUAGACCCAUUAUCUGGGUUGAGGACAGUGCCUGGUGGGUAGUUUGACUGGGGCGGUCUCCUCCCAAAGAGUAACGGAGGAGCACGAAGGUGGGCUAAUCACGGUUGGACAUCGUGAGGUUAGUGCAAUGGCAUAAGCCCGCUUAACUGCGAGAAUGACGGUUCGAGCAGGUGCGAAAGCAGGUCAUAGUGAUCCGGUGGUUCUGUAUGGAAGGGCCAUCGCUCAACGGAUAAAAGGUACUCCGGGGAUAACAGGCUGAUACCGCCCAAGAGUUCAUAUCGACGGCGGUGUUUGGCACCUCGAUGUCGGCUCAUCACAUCCUGGGGCUGAAGUCGGUCCCAAGGGUAUGGCUGUUCGCCAUUUAAAGUGGUACGCGAGCUGGGUUUAGAACGUCGUGAGACAGUUCGGUCCCUAUCUGCCGUGGGCGUUGGAAGAUUGAAGGGGGCUGCUCCUAGUACGAGAGGACCGGAGUGGACGAACCUCUGGUGUUCGGGUUGUGUCGCCAGACGCAUUGCCCGGUAGCUAAGUUCGGAAUUGAUAAGCGCUGAAAGCAUCUAAGCGCGAAGCGAGCCCUGAGAUGAGUCUUCCCUGA